This 416-nucleotide ribosomal RNA is filed under the name Bacillus sp. (in: firmicutes). RNAcentral describes it as "bacterial SSU rRNA". It matches the Rfam family "Bacterial small subunit ribosomal RNA", at positions 642 to 1054 of the family's 1533-position model. Lineage: Bacteria; Bacillati; Bacillota; Bacilli; Caryophanales; Bacillaceae. The record is from RNAcentral.
UGAGUGCAGAAGAGAAGAGUGGAAUUUCCACGUGUAGCGGUGAAAUGCGUAGAGAUGUGGAGGAACACCAGUGGCGAAGGCGACUCUUUGGUCUGUAACUGACGCUGAGGCGCGAAAGCGUNGGGAGCAAACAGGAUUAGAUACCCUGGUAGUCCACGCCGUAAACGAUGAGUGCUAAGUGUUAGAGGGUUUCCGCCCUUUAGUGCUGCAGCAAACGCAUUAAGCACUCCGCCUGGGGAGUACGGCCGCAAGGCUGAAACUCAGAGGAAUUGACGGGGGCCCGCACAAGCGGUGGAGCAUGUGGUUUAAUUCGAAGCAACGCGAAGAACCUUACCAGGUCUUGACAUCUCCUGACAACACUAGAGAUAGGGCGUUCCCCUUCGGGGGACAGGAUGACAGGUGGUGCAUGGUUGUCG